This 406-nucleotide ribosomal RNA is filed under the name uncultured bacterium. RNAcentral describes it as "partial 16S ribosomal RNA". It matches the Rfam family "Bacterial small subunit ribosomal RNA", at positions 30 to 526 of the family's 1533-position model. The record is from RNAcentral.
AUUGAACGCUGGCGGCAGGCUUAACACAUGCAAGUCGAGCGAGCGGCGGACGGGUGAGUAAUGUCUGGGAAACUGCCUGAUGGAGGGGGAUAACUACUGGAAACGGUAGCUAAUACCGCAUACCAUCAGAUGUGCCCAGAUGGGAUUAGCUAGUGGGGGGGGUAAUGGCUAACCAAGGCGACUAUCCCUUGCUGGUCUGAGAGGAUGACCAGCCAAACUGGAACUGAGACACGGUCCAGACUCCUACGGGAGGCAGCAGUGGGGAAUAUUGCACAAUGGGCGCAAGCCUGAUGCAGCCAUGCCGCGUGUGUGAAGAAGGCCUUCGGGUUGUAAAGCACUUUCAGCGGGGAGGCGUUACUCGCAGAAGAAGCACCGGCUAACUCCGUGCCAGCAGCCGCGGUAAUAC